CAAUAGCGUAUAUUAAAGUUGUUGCGGUUAAAAGCUCGUAGUUGGAUUUCUGCUGAGGACGACCGGUCCGCCCUCUGGGUGAGUAUCUGGCUCGGCCUUGGCAUCUUCUUGGGGAACGUAACUGCACUUGACUGUGUGGUGCGGUAUCCAGGACUUUUACUUUGAGGAAAUUAGAGUGUUUCAAGCAGGCGCACGCCUUGAAUACAUUAGCAUGGAAUAAUAAGAUAGGACCUUGGUUCUAUUUUGUUGGUUUCUAGAGCUGAGGUAAUGAUUAAUAGGGAUAGUUGGGGGCAUCAGUAUUCUGAAGCGAGAGGUGAAAUUCUUGGACCUUCGGAAGACUAACAGCUGCGAAAGCGUUUGCCUAGGAUGUUCUCUUUAAUCAAGAACGAAGGUUGGGGGAUCGAAGAUGAUCAGAUACC
RNAcentral lists this ribosomal RNA (419 nucleotides) under uncultured eukaryote. Its description in RNAcentral is "bacterial SSU rRNA". It matches the Rfam family "Eukaryotic small subunit ribosomal RNA", at positions 592 to 1016 of the family's 1831-position model. The record is from RNAcentral.